CAUAUAUUACAAGAUAAAUCAGUCCCUAAUGUUCAGUUAUUACAAAAUGAACUAGUUCAAACGUUUAAUUACAACAAGGUGAGUGUAUUAAAACUAAACGAGGGGAAAACAGGGUGAGGAUUCAAAACCAAAAAAAGAUAGAAGCAGAUCUCCAUACUUAAGAAUACAUUCUAUUUCAGCUUCAAUACAUCAAUGAACAUCGAAUGUACCUGCAAUUCAGCAAAGAAUGAAAGCCUAUGAGUAAAUGCAAUUAAUCAGCCAAGCAUAACAGUAGCCAAUCAAACAGUACACCUUGGACUUCAGCAGAUUUUUGAGUGAAUUAAAAUCUCAAAAUGAUAAGAACAGCACUGAUCUUUUAUCAAAGAUAUAGGAAGAACUAAUAUGUAUUUUGCUCUUCUAGAAUUCAAAAGAAAAGUUCCGGAUGCCUUCAAAAAAUGCUCAUAUGCUUUCUUUUAUAAUGGAGCCUUUGGGAACCACCUUUUCCCUAGUUUUUCUUUUAGUCCUUGCUUCAUAUUUACACUUUUCCUAAAUGGUCCUUCAUUUCUUGACUUGUGCCUCAAGUUUGAGGCAGAAAUUAUAUUUUUGCCCCUCACUAGAAGGUUUUGGAGGUUAUUAUCAGGUUCUCUUAAAGAUCAAAUACCUCUUAUACCCCCAUUUCUUUCCUAAAUAACAAUUCUGAAAUUUGAACCUCAGUCUAUCAUCUGGUUUGGUUACAAUUGACCCAGGUUAAUUAUGUUCAAGUUUGGGUCACAUUUUAGUCUUGGACUAACAGGCUUAUUAAAGUUCAAAAUUAGCCAAAAUUAGUCAGGUUUUAAAACUAGUGCCUUAAUGUGAUUUUUCAAUAACCAAACAUUAUACAGGAUGAUCAUUCAAAAAACAAUAUCAAUCAGGUUUUAAAACAAGUGCCUUAAUGUGAUUUCUCAAUAACCAAACAUUUUACAAGAUGAUCCUUCAAUAUCAAAAACAAUAAAUUAAAAUGCCCAGAAGAGGGGAACCAUCCCUCAACACUUAACUUGCAGAAAUAAACCAAUUAAAGUAUUCAGAGAUCUUGAAAAUGAAAAGCAUACAGCAGGAAGUGAACACUUAGUUCAUGAAUCUAAUUGGAAAAUUAAGGCUAACAUUAGCAAUUAAAGGUCCAACCAAACAAAUCAGCCUAAAAUAAUACCAGUACUGAAGAUCAAAAUUACUAUGAAAAUCCAACACUUAGUAGCAUGAACAACUAACAAAACUAAAUAAAAAUCACACUACUCAAGAAGCUAAUAUUAACAGGACAUCAAACCGUUCAAGAGACGAAGGGAUUUCAGACUAGUAACUACCAAGGCAUAUAGCAAGUAUAGCUGACUGUUUAGCCUAUUUCAUAUGAGAUUAUGUGAAACAAAUAAUCAUUCAAAACAAAGCAGCUAACAAUUAUAAAAACACAACAAUUAUGCACAGGUGAAGAUAGUGAUUAAAAUACAUGAGGCUUAGCUUUUAUACACAUGCAAAUCCGACUUGGAAUUACUUUAUUGGUUUCAGACCUCUUCUGUAGAGGUUUUUGAACCUUCUAGGGCAAAUGGCAUGGUGGAUAAUAGGUUCAGGAUUUCCGGAAGAACAUUUAUGACUUUGAGACCCCAGUGAAGUCUCAGAUCUGAAUUUCUUUAGUGAUUGGUGUUGUGUGGGGGUUGUGAAAGGUAUGGUUGGGGAAAGCAACAGAUGGGGACUGUCUGAGACGAAUUUGAACAAAUUCCGACAGGGUUGAGUUUUAGGCUUAAACUUCAACUUAAUAUUCGAAGCGUUCUGAAUGGAUUCGAAGGGUGUAACACACAUGGUUGGAAAGAGGAUGAUGAGUUGUUUUAGGGGUGUGAUUUUGGAGGGGUUUGGAAUUGAAUCGUCGGAGAUGGAGGUUCUGACGACCUUUCUGUGAAGAUUUUAGAUGAUGGGGGGUCAUUUGAAGGGAAAGGGCUGCAGGAUGGGGAGGUUUGGGACAAGGUCACCGGAGACGGUGGUUCCAGAGACUUUUAUUUUGAAUAUUCUAGAAGCUAGGGCCUUAUUUGAUGAAAACUAAACACAGGACGGAAAAGAGCAGGUUGUGAUGGUUUGAGGUGUAAAUCUGGGGACGUUUGGUGACCAGCCGCCUUCGUGAGGUGAUUUUCGGCGGCGGCGUUAGGGUGGUAGACUAGUGGUCAAUGGGUGGUCAAGGGCGGCCAGGGGUGGUCAAGGGGUGGCCAAGGGUGGUGUUACAGUGGAGUAGAUUGUAAGAUGAAGAAUGGAA
This 2251-nucleotide long non-coding RNA is filed under the name Nicotiana benthamiana. RNAcentral's name for it is "long non-coding RNA (NBEN_LNC035186)". Lineage: Eukaryota; Viridiplantae; Streptophyta; Magnoliopsida; Solanales; Solanaceae. The record is from RNAcentral.